This 131-nucleotide ribosomal RNA is filed under the name uncultured Basidiomycota. RNAcentral describes it as "partial small subunit ribosomal RNA". It matches the Rfam family "Eukaryotic small subunit ribosomal RNA", at positions 1675 to 1804 of the family's 1831-position model. Lineage: Eukaryota; Fungi; Basidiomycota. The record is from RNAcentral.
GUCGCUACUACCGAUUGAAUGCUUAGUGAGAUCUCCGGAUUGGCUUUGGGAAGCUGGCAACGGCUACCCAUUGCUGAGAAGCUGAUCAAACUUGGUCAUUUAGAGGAAGUAAAAGUCGUAACAAGGUUUCU